This 497-nucleotide ribosomal RNA is filed under the name uncultured bacterium. RNAcentral describes it as "partial 16S ribosomal RNA". It matches the Rfam family "Bacterial small subunit ribosomal RNA", at positions 28 to 507 of the family's 1533-position model. The record is from RNAcentral.
GAUGAACGCUGGCGGCGUGCCUAAUACAUGCAAGUCGAGCGAACAGACGAGGUGCUUGCUCCUCUGACGUUAGCGGCGGAAGGGAGAGUAACACGUGGAGAACCUGCCUAUAGGACUGGGAUAACUUAGGGAAACCGGAGCUAAUACCGGAUAAUAUAUUGAACCGCAUGGUUCAAUAGUGAAAGACGGCUUUGCUGGAACUUAUAGAUGGAUCCGCGCCGCAUUAGCUGGUUGGUAAGGUAACGGCUUCCCAGGGCAGCGCUGGGUAGCCGACCCGCGAGCGUGUACCGCCACUCUGGAACUGAGCCGCGGUCCAGACUCUUACGUGCGGCCCCGGUAGGUACGCUUCGGCGAUGGGCGGAAGCCUGACGGAGCAGCGCCGCGUUGGUGAAGAAGGUCCUCGGGUCGUAUAACUCUGUUAUUGUUGAAGAACAAAUGUGUAAGUAACUAUGCACGUCGUGACGGUACCUGCACAGAAAGCCCCGGCUAACUACGUG